Gadus macrocephalus (Pacific cod) is the source of this 1755-nucleotide long non-coding RNA. RefSeq lists it as uncharacterized. The transcript has 2 exons. The record is from RefSeq and is a predicted model, not a curated record. Lineage: Eukaryota; Metazoa; Chordata; Actinopteri; Gadiformes; Gadidae.
CCGAAUGCAAGCUCUUUGAGGAGCUGAUAGAGGCAGUGCGCGCUUGAUAAUGCACAGCCGUGCACACCGUGCACAGCCGUGCACACUAGUGCAUCUCCAGCUAAUCAGAAGCGCGCAGUUGCAUAAAGGAAAGCGGUUGCCAAGGCAGCCACCGAUCUCCCCUCCCCCUUUCUCCGGUCGUUCCUCUUUUCAGUUUAUUAUCGGCAGAGGUCGCAUGGCAUAAGGGAAGAGCACACGAACCACUUCUGUCCUGGAACCAAUGCACGAAUAUGCACCUCCAUAACAAAGCCUAUGGAGUACUGAGAGCAGUGGAAGAGCAACAGAGGCUGUGAAUGUGCGGCGUUGCGUUCAACCUUUUAAAAAAACGACAUUAAGAGGGAAUCAAAGUUCAAUGUUUUGCUUGUUUGGUCCUGGAACAACGGAAUAAUUUUACAAAACACGUGCAUGUCCAUGUAGUUUUGCGACCGCUCUCGCUCCGCAAACAGCGCUCCAACAAACGGUUCCCAUCCCGAAAGUGGUAGUGGUGCAGGGGCUCCGAGGAGAACUGCGCAGCAUCUCCAGAGUUGGUGCCGAACUUCGGCCGCGGACGGAUGUGAAGGGAAAGUGUGCCGAUCAAAACUCAACCCACUUUUGCUUAUUUCUGCUCUCCCUCGCUGGCCUUUUUUUUUCGUUUCAAAGGUUCAACCGCAGAGAGUCCAAGACACUGCCACUGAUUUCAUGCCUUCAGUCUUGUGCAUCCUGAAAUGGACGUGAGAUUUUAUCCUGCACACCCUGGAAGUGUGGGUUCAUGCUCUUUACCCGCUGACCCGAGUUGUCUCAGCUCCUUGGACUAUUAUCACGCCAACAAGUUUUUCAUAGAACAAAACUGCCCGCAAGCGCCCAGGCUGAUGUUUGAGUUACAUGCUGCCGGAAUACCAGGGACGGUAUGGAUCUAUACCGCCCUUUCUGCCUGUGCUCUCACACUCUCAUGUCUCAUAGCCAGCACGGUGCCCCAUGCUAGAGUUCACUGAUGAAAUGGAUCCGUGCCAAUAAUGUACUGAUAAUGAGUCGGUAACGAGAGGAACCCAACGCGCAGAGGGAGGACUGGUAGCUAGGCAGGCGUCACUCCUCUGUUCUCCUAUUCUUUGCUAUUUUCUUUUGACACAUGGAGGCUGGCUGGCCGCGGGGUUUAGGGACCUGUUCGUGUUCUGAUGCUUUCCCCAGUGCGCAGGUGGCCACCCAGAGAGUGUUAGCUAAUGGUAUCGAUUGCUGUUAUCGUAUACUUUACGGAAUAUAAGCAAGGGAAAUGUUAUGUAAAACACGGAGACGCGCUUGUUGGCGCCGAAGUCAAGUCCGCGCUAAAACAACAUAUUCAAUGGAGAGGUUUGGAUUUGGUCGUUACUGACCUGAUUGGUAAUGGAAAGCCAAGUUCGUAUCUUAGCCUUUUAACAUUAGAUUUGGCUCUAAUAUUAUUGUUCAAUGUUAGAAAAGCUUUGUAACUGAAUAGAAGCAAUUGAACAUCUUUCUUUGUGGGGCACCUUUAAUACGUUUACCCCUAAUACAAAUUGAAAGCAUAAAAACCACAAUCAAUACACAGUCACUGAGCAAUAUAGCAGAUGGAAUAUGUCUAUUCAUGCACACACACACACACACACACACACACACACACACACACACACACACACACACACACACACACACACACACACACACACACACACACACACACACACACACACACACACACACACACACACACACACACACACACACCUA